Molecule: long non-coding RNA, 6465 nt
Organism: Cygnus atratus (black swan)
Lineage: Eukaryota; Metazoa; Chordata; Aves; Anseriformes; Anatidae
Exons: 3
Source: RefSeq, a predicted model, not a curated record
CACAGCUGACAGAUAUGUAUUACCCAAAACUACUGUCUGGCUUCCCGGAUGGUGAGAAGCAUUUCAUGGACAUGAGAAAAUGUCAUUCAUCUACGCAGCUUCAGCUUCACAUUGUUUGAACGUUAAGUCAUGUAGGCAAGUGUUACUAUUCUGAAUCCAGAGACAUGUUACCACAAUACAUAGCGUGCAUAGCAAGCCUGUAGAGGAACUAUCAUUUUUUAGAGGUAAAGGCAACAGGAUUCAUCUAGCUACUAAGCCAACACUAUGGUGGAACUUCUAUUUUUUGUUUCUUUGAAAACCUUUUUCAUAAAUACUGCUUUCUUAGGAACAGAAUUAUCCCUACACAUCCCUCUUUUUUAACAUUUUUGGAGGUGUUGGGAUUUUUUCAACACUGAGACCAAAAUUUCUUCUUUUUUUGGGAAUGUGUGGGAGGCUGUGGAAGGGUGUUUGGUGGUUCAAAAUUAAUCUGACAAAAUAGUAAUGGACUUCUAUCUGCCUCGACAGUUUUGCUAAGCAGCAGGACAGAAUUCCAAUAGAAUUGUCCUUGAUUCAACUGAGAACUGUUACUGGAUGAGACCAUUGCUUUCAGGAGAGGAAGGGGGAAGGGCGUCCCUCCAGCUGUUAGCAGCAAUCUUGGUGCAGGAAGAGGCUCACAUCCAACUGCUGCAGACUGGAGAAGUCGGACUGAGGGCAGUGAAGCAAUCCCACAGCAGGUCUAGCUUCCCAACUGUCCCUGAUUUUUUCAUCAACGAUUUUCAUUGUUUGUCCUCUGUCUGGGGGUUUCCCUUCAGUGAGUAUGUGGAUUUGGAAAGACUGAAAAAAUGCAAUAGCUGAAUACUUCUGCAUAUCUUACAACUCCUUCUUCCCUCAUUCUCACUCAUGGUGUAUUGCUCAUAUUUUCUCUUUAAAGUUUUUACCUAUAUUGCUGCUUUUUGCCACCACUUUAUUUUUUUCCUGUCACUUUCACAUAUUUUAAUUUCAAAUCCUAAUUUUCUGUUGUGAUAUACAUCUGUGAAGGUUUGGAGGUGAUCGAGUCUUAAGAAAAAAGAAAGGAAAAAAAAGAGCAGUAAGUGUCAGAGUGUACUGACUUCUCUAGAUUUACAUUUCCACCAGUAUUUACAGGAGUCUAACUUGUAGACCUUGUGAACUUUCUCCCACAAAAACAAAAUAAUAAUAAUAAUUGCAUAUGCAUUCCAAUUAUACCCAGGGUAGUUAAGAAUCACAAUUUGAGUUAGAAAUAAUAACAGAAUUCAAGACAGAAAACAAUCACCUUUUUUGGUCUGUUUCUUUUCUAAAAGAGGUCAGAGCCAACACUUCCACUGAGUUCAAGAGGGAAACUUCUCUGCCUUUAUUGUCAAGUAAACACAGUUAAAAUACAUAAACCAGACAUAUACAGACAAAAUACAUGGCCUAUUUCUAAGGCCAAAUUUGGUAACCAAUCACAAUGAAUUCACUGUUUCUAAAUGAGGGCAGAAGUUGUCCCUACAAGACAUUUUCCUUUAUUUAGGAUUUCAGUAAGUUCUGCUGAGUUUGUCAAGACCUGCUAUUUUGUUUUGCAUACACAGAGUACCUCAUACAGUGGAUUAUUGUUCCAUGUCUGAGAGUAUGCAACAGUUUUGCAGUGCAUAAACAAAAUAAAAAAACUAAGUUAUAAAAGCCUUACAUCUGGUGCCUUUCUCCAGAAUACUGCUACUGUUUAUGCAAAGAUUGCCAUUUUGAAACAAAAGCAAGAUCAUCUUCCUAAUAGGUGGCACUGUCCUGAAAUUUAGACUAUCUUCAUUUAAAAAAAAAAAAAGAUUUGAGUUUAUUUAGGAAAAUCUUCAGGCUUUCAAACUAUCCUCUGCAAAGAUCCAGAGAGUACCUAAAACCUGAACAUUUUUCCAAGCAAAAAGAAAGAACCCACUGUUACUAAUACACCAUUAGCUGAAGGUUGCCUAGGGAUAGGAAUGAAGUUCAGCUCCUUGGAAGAGACAGCCCGAAAGCAGCCACACCAGAGCCAACUGUACAGUCACUCUCCAGUGCAGCCAACAAACAAGCUGGGGAAAGACAGCUAAGGGAACAGACCCAGGUCUAGCUGUAGCUGUAGCCAUUGGAAACAUUAUAUUCCAAAACAAAACUGAAGUAAAUUUUCAGCUGGAGCAGGGGACUGACUACACCCAGAAUGAUUAAUAUUUUCAUGUGUAAGGAGCUGAAGGAAAGUUCCCAGACUCCACUACGACAAACAGCUUCUUAUGAUUGAUAAUAUUAGGGACAGAAAAUGCAGGAAAGUAGUCAAGAAAUUGCUCCCAAAGGGCUAAAUCUACACACCUGUGCCCUCCUCAUUUAUGUGAUACUUGCUAAGGAGAUGCUGUUGCUUUCAAGGUCAAAGAUCUCUGAAGAAGGCUCUUCCAUUUUCUUGGUGGACCCUACAUAACCACAGGCUCUUGGUUCUGCUUAAAGGAGAUUUUUUGAAGUACAUAUGGGAGUUACAUGCCCAAUUCCCAUUAUUUCCUAAAGACAAUUACAUGCUUAACUGCCCUCUGUGCCUUUUAUAACCUUCCUUUUUGGAGCCAGAUGUUCAUGAUUACAUAGAUUAUCUACAAUAGGUUUCACAACAGCAGUACUUUGAGGUACUUCUUUAAAAUUCUAUUGGAAGUUUUGACAACAUACACAAAAUGUAGAGUAAUGAUCAUGUAGUCUAUGGAUUGUUUGUUUUAAGAAACUGAGAUUUUUCAUGCUAAAAUAGGAUACAUUUUUAAGGAAACAUACCCUCAGUCUAAAAUAUAUAUAAUUAUGGUUUAUUCUGUUGCUCCAGUGGAUUAAAACAUUCAUUAUACAAGCCACAGAUAAGAUAUAAUCUCGGAGGCUGAUGACUUUUGCAACAUCAGAGAAGAUUAAAGGGGAGAUUUUGUUGUAAACUGAGUUUGCAAUAGAAAAUUAUGUCCACUGUGUGGUAAAAAGUUUGCUGUCACUUUCAGCUCUGGCUUUGCUUUAUUUUAUUUUUCCUAGUCUAGCUGGCUGUAAAUCUUCAAAAUUGCAUAAUGCCAAUUAAGAAAAAUAAAGAGAAAAUUGAGAUACCAGUACUCAUAGAGGAAUGCUGUUGGCUGAGGCCCCAGAUAUUUUUUGUGUCUCCAGUGAUUUUCCUGUAACUGUUCCAGGAAGUUUGGGAAAAGCUUUGCAUUGACAUCAUGCUGCAAAUGCUGGAAAAGCGUUACCCUGGGAAAGAUUUGAGGCCUAGUUCAAUGUCCUGCAUAACCUAUCCUAAGACUUCUAUGGACAUUCUCAAGGUUAAUGAAUUCAGCAGAAAUCUAACCCAUCUCUCCUACCAAAAGCAGCUUUACUGAAGAGAAAGUUAACAAAUUGUUUUUUUUAAUGUAGCUGUUCCUAUUAACCACUUAAUGGGAAAGUACAUUAUACUAUUAUACUUGAUUUAAAAAUAUAUAUAUAUUUUAACAGUAAUUUAUUCUCACUAGCAAAAUAAGCAGAUUAUGGAUGAUUUCCCUUUUCUUACAUCAGGAUUGUUUUCUUCUUUUUAUAAAUUAAAAACAAUAGAUAUAAAUAAAGACUAAUUCCUGGGGAAAAAAAAUCAGAGAGGACAUUUAGAUUCAGUUCUGGAAGAUGGCCACUGUAGAAGGUUAAGUCACAUAAGACUUAGCUUCUGAGAAGGAGAAAAAGCAUCCAAUGACUGUUAGGAUCAGUCCUUAAUACUUCAGUAGGUAAUUCUGUAGAAUUAUGGGUUUGAGUGGGCUUUUGUUUUCCAGGAACUAUUGCUGUUACCUAAACUACUUGUCAGUGAACGGUUGGGCUCUUCUGACUUAAACUGAGUGACUCAAAAGCUGUGUUAUCCCAUGUCUACAGAAUUAUCAGGGACCAGGAAACUGUGCUGUUCUCAAGGUACCUGUCUCCCAUACCUAUUAUGAGAAAAGCUAGCUGACUAGUUUGAACUAGAAGCCUUAUUUUUAGAUGAGAAAAAUAAGGCAAGAAAAAGGCUACCUAAAUAAAUUCCAGUGACUGUAUUGCUCUUCAUUUCCAAGUUAAUUCAUAGAAGCAGUAUAAAAGAUGUGUAAAAACUGUAAAAUAAUUUUGUGAGCGGCAGCAAUCCUUUUUUUUUUUUUUUCUGAUAAUGGUUGAGAAAAAACAGGAAAUAGAAUGACCUUAAAAGUUCAUAAGAAAUGAACUUCUACUGCAGUGGAUGCUAAAUGUGCCAGUAUUUUCUGACUUCUUAUUCCUGAAGUACAUUUUUUCAUAAAUAUGUUGUACAGGAAAAAUUUGUUUUUAUAACCUCUCACAUUUGGCAAAUUGAAACCCCAAUGUCUCAUUUCACUUUGCUGAUAUUUCACAGUCAAGGGGUAGUAACAUCUUAGAAACAAUGCUAAGACUGUGUGUACUUGUUGUUUUUAAUAAAACUGUCAAGUGUUAAAACCUUGUGAGUGUAUGGGUGUAUUUAUAGAUUAUUUCUCUCCAAAUGUAUAGAAUAAUUUUUAAAACCACAUUCCCAAACGUAAAGCUAGUGAAACAGAAAAUAAUUCACUACAAAAAGCAUAAAGAAAUGAAUACAGGUCUUGGACAAAGAUAGAAAAACAUAAACUAUUGUGUAGAAUUGAUAAAUAUUAUUCAUUCAAACUUUUAUUUACAGAAAACCUUUAAAGUGAAUUCCAAAAAUAAUCUUAUUCAAAGCCAGAAACACACAUAAAAAAAUAAAGUAUUAGAAACAAUUUUGUUUCCUUUUGUUUUUAGUGUUUUUUUUUACCUUCUUCAAGAGAGAUAACUCACUCAUAAUCUAGUACUAACAAUUCAGAGAGUAUCAUAACCAUUACUGGAUUGCAAAAAUACAAAUAAACAUUUCCUUAUGUACUAAGGAAAAUCAGAUAUAGACAGAUUAUGUCCAAUAUUUUAAGUUCAAGUACUCACAUUUAGUCACAUUACUUUGUACCUAGCACACAAGCAGGUAAAAUCACUUUCAGAGGUACAAAUGACAAAAAUUGCAGUGAAUUUAGGCAGGAGAACAGUCCAGGGAUCAGAGCUGUGGAAGUAUUUAGGCCAUUAAAUCACAACUACUAUUUCAGUUGAAGUUGGAUGCUUAAAUACAGUUAUGGAUAUGGCUAUAAAACUGUAAAAGCAUGGUAAGUGUUGCAUUUCAUAAAUGUCAAGAUAAGUUAUAAAAAGUUGGUCCUAAUUAGUUAUUCAGACUUACUCAGUAAUUCUCCAGUUAUAUCAAUACAUAUGGGCACUUUUAAACAGGUGUGCAGAAACCAUCAAGUUAAUCAAACAUUACCUGAAUUUGAAGUGUCAAAAAAAAACAGUAUCUCAGUCUCAGCCUUGAAACAUAAUUUGGCUCAUAUCCUCAGGCAUGAUUUUUAGCUUUGGGUAAUUUCUUGGAAUUCAAGUCAACCCAAACUCCCUGCCUUCACUGGUUACCUUCCACAUUUACCAAAUCUGAAAGCCACAUCUAUACCGCUGUCCUUUGUAGACAGCCAACAGACCCAUCUAUUUUAUAUGUAGGCUUCAGAACCUGGAGUCAUAUUUUCCUGCCUGAUAGCAACUCCAGAAAUGUUAGGAAUAGGGUCUAAAUGUUAUACUUCACUGUGGUUCUUCUGAAAGCAUCAACUAAUACCUCUAGACACCCUUCAUUUACACUUUGGUGGCAAUGAGAAACUGAAAUGCUUAGCUCAAGGCUGCUGAUUCUCCCAGACGUUAAGGAUGCUUUAGCCUUAAGAAUAGAAAUAACCUGGUUCAGUGUAGAUGUCAACACAAUUAAUCAUCCUAGAUUCCCUUGACAGUCAAUGAAGAUCUAUUCAGAGUAGACAAUGGAGUACAAGUUGUGAUUCAUAUCAUCCUAAAGUACACACUUAAAAUAGGUCAGAGAAACUGUACCCUAAUAAGGCCUCUUUCUAUUCAUAGACUACAGAUGGAGCCUAAGAUGAUGAACUCAACUAAAGAUAGGUAAAGUUAAAAUGAAUCCAUGCCUGUAUUAUGCAAUACAACUUCCAUAGACAUAAUCUGUUGUAUCUAGUGUCCUGUUUUCCAGAGAAGAGAAUGGAAAAAAAGGAAGUUCAAGUAUAAAGAUUUUUAAGCCUAGCCUCCUGCAGACUUACCUGUAAAAUAUAUCCCAAGAGUUUAAUAUACUUAUUUUAAGGUUACAGUAAAAGUUAGUGUAAAGAGACUCUGAAGAAUCAAGGUCUUUAAAGAAAAAAAUUAAGUAGAUAUUAGACAUGGGUUUGCAAAAUCAAAAGAUCUGAAUGUCUAAUGACAACUGAGCAAGCAUAUCCCUUGGGCUUCUUUGAAAGCCUAAAUAUUAGUAAAGGGAAAAUUAGAUCAAGAAAAUGUUGGCACUUCUUACUAUUUUGUUAUUGGAAAGGGAAUGUGGCAAAAACAGUUAGUUCUCUUAUAGCAAAUGUGUUAAUGUAAAGUCGUUCUUUCAUUCAUUUCACCAUAUUUUGCGUUUAGAGAAAGAUGAAUAUUCAGUAGUCACAUUUUGUUCACUUC